UAUUACCACUAGGGGUGCCUCUUUAAUGGAAAAUGGAAGCUGACCAAGAAAUUUGAAGCUUCUUAUUUACCGAAAAGGCUGAGAUUAGAGUGUGACUUUAAGACCCUUAGAACCUGAUCUGGAUUAUACCAGCGUAGGGAAGUGGAGGCGUCUAUAC
Molecule: non-coding RNA, 157 nt
Filed under: Bacillus sp. (in: firmicutes)
Lineage: Bacteria; Bacillati; Bacillota; Bacilli; Caryophanales; Bacillaceae
Also listed under: 1 other name
Description: Bacillus sp. TPP sequence
Rfam family: TPP riboswitch aptamer (THI element)
About the family: Vitamin B(1) in its active form thiamin pyrophosphate (TPP) is an essential coenzyme that is synthesised by coupling of pyrimidine and thiazole moieties in bacteria. The previously detected thiamin-regulatory element, thi box was extended, resulting in a new, highly conserved RNA secondary structure, the THI element, which is widely distributed in eubacteria and also occurs in some archaea.
Source: RNAcentral